GUGUCAGUAGUAUAAGUUUUGGGGAGUAUUCCUUCUUUCCAGGUAGGGGGUUUCAUUUGUUGUGAGCUGAUAUA
Molecule: transfer RNA, 74 nt
Filed under: Cardiocephaloides medioconiger
Lineage: Eukaryota; Metazoa; Platyhelminthes; Trematoda; Diplostomida; Strigeidae
Description: tRNA-Gly
Source: RNAcentral